AGAGUUUGAUCAUGGCUCAGAACGAACGCUGGCGGCAUGCUUUACACAUGCAAGUCGAACGGGAUCAUGGCUUCGGCCAUGUAUCUAGUGGCAAACGGGUGAGUAACGCGUGGGAAUCUACCUAGUUGUGGGGAACAACAGCGGGAAACUGCUGCUAAUACCGCAUACGCCCUUCGGGGGAAAGGCUUCGGCCGCAAUUAGAGGAGCCCGCGUCGGAUUAGGUAGUUGGUGGGGUAAAGGCCUACUAAGCCAAUGAUCUGUAGCUGGUCUGAGAGGAUGAUCAGCCACACUGGGACUUAGACACGGCCCAGACUCCUACGGGAGGCAGCAGUGGGGAAUAUUGGACAAUGGAGGAAACUCUGAUCCAGCAAUGCCGCGUGAGUGAAGAAGGCUUUAGGGUUGUAAAACUCUUUCAGUAGGGAAGAUAAUGACGGUACCUACAGAAGAAGCCCCGGCUAACUCCGUGCCAGCAGCCGCGGUAAGACGGAGGGGGCUAGCGUUGUUCGGAAUUACUGGGCGUAAAGGGUGCGUAGGCGGCCAUUCAAGUUAGACGUGAAAGCCCAGAGCUUAACUCUGGAAUUGCAUUUAAUAC
RNAcentral lists this ribosomal RNA (592 nucleotides) under uncultured bacterium. Its description in RNAcentral is "bacterial SSU rRNA". It matches the Rfam family "Bacterial small subunit ribosomal RNA", at positions 8 to 633 of the family's 1533-position model. The record is from RNAcentral.